Molecule: long non-coding RNA, 831 nt
Organism: Zalophus californianus (California sea lion)
Lineage: Eukaryota; Metazoa; Chordata; Mammalia; Carnivora; Otariidae
Exons: 3
Source: RefSeq, a predicted model, not a curated record
UGAGAAAGAAACUGCUAGUGCCUUUACAAAUGGAUUUCAAGUUGUCUGCUUUCAUCGUAGGUUCCAUAAAUAUGGGACCUCUGCACCAUCUCCUGAAAUGCUAGCGGUGUCACUUCUCAAAGCACGACCCUGUGAUGACAACAGAUUGGCAUACACCACACGGAGGGAAGCAUCAUCAUCGGCCGGUGCGUCUCUUCAAGGUUCUAUUCGAAUUGUGAUCUCAGCGGUCUGACCUUGACAAUAUAUGCUGAGCUUUUCCGGUCGUAUCAGCUCAGACAAAAACUGCAUAUGGCACCAACAGUGCUUUUUUUUCUUACGGGGGCUUAGAGGGGGGCAAGUGAUAGCCCUGGGUUCUCUGAAUGGUGGACUAAUUCGGUAAGAGCCCAAACUGGUUCCAAGGGAACCUUCAGAACGGUUGGAACUGCUCUGUUGCAGUAUGAAACUUAGAAGACCCGGUUUCCUCGAGGGAUGAAAGAUACAUAAUCUCUAAUAAGGUGAAACGGAUCAAUACUUGGAAGACGGUUAACAGAAGGGUUUUGUAGACAGAUCUGCCUGGAAAAAUGGCAUCAUGGAGGUGGCUUCCUGGGGGCAGAGGUCUACCAAGCAGAGUGUAACUGUUGAUCAUAAUGAAUGAAAACUUGCCGACUGGGACAACUGGAACAAACUUAUAAUUCUGAUCACGCCAUCUAUGUGAGAACAGCCUGUUAGAAACUACAGGGACAGCAGGAUUGUGGGCUGUGCGUCCCUGCUGCUGGCCGCAGCUUGGCCCCCCCGCCCAGGACAUCCCCUGUUCCUCCCAGCAGGCUGCCCACAGGUGCUACUGGACUUGGA